GAGUUUGAUCGUGGCUCAGGACGAACGCUGGCGGCGUGCCUAAUACAUGCAAGUCGAGCGAGGGUUUUUAAGACCCUAGCGGCGGACGGGUGAGUAACACGUAGGCAACCUGCCUCUCAGACCGGGAUAACAUAGGGAAACUUAUGCUAAUACCGGAUAGGUUUUUGGAUUGCAUGAUCCGAAAAGAAAAGAUGGCUUUUCGCUAUCACUGGGAGAUGGGCCUGCGGCGCAUUAGCUAGUUGGUGGGUAACGGCCUACCAAGGCGACGAUGCGUAGCCGACCUGAGAGGGUGACCGGCCACACUGGGACUGAGACACGGCCCAGACUCCUACGGGAGGCAGCAGUAGGGAAUUUUCCGACAGUGGACGAAAGUCUGAUGGAGCAACGCCGCGUGACGAUGAAGGUCUUCGGAUUGUAAAGUUCUGUUGUCAGGGACGAACACGUACCGUUCGAAUAGGGCGGUACC
Molecule: ribosomal RNA, 466 nt
Filed under: uncultured microorganism
Description: bacterial SSU rRNA
Rfam family: Bacterial small subunit ribosomal RNA
Source: RNAcentral